ACUGAACGCUGGCGGCAGGCCUAACACAUGCAAGUCGAACGGUAACAGGAAGCAGCUUGCUGCUUUGCUGACGAGUGGCGGACGGGUGAGUAAUGUCUGGGAAACUGCCCGAUGGAGGGGGAUAACUACUGGAAACGGUAGCUAAUACCGCAUAACGUCGCAAGACCAAGAGGGGGACCUUAGGGCCUCUUGCCAUCGGAUGUGCCCAGAUGGGAUUAGCUAGUAGGUGGGGUAACGGCUCACCUAGGCGACGAUCCCUAGCUGGUCUGAGAGGAUGACCAGCCACACUGGAACUGAGACACGGUCCAGACCCCUACGGGAGGCAGCAGUGGGGAAUAUUGCACAAUGGGCGCAAGCCUGAUGCAGCCAUGCCGCGUGUAUGAAGAAGGCCUUCGGGUUGUAAAGUACUUUCAGCGGGGAGGAAGGGAGUAAAGUUAAUACCUUUGCUCAUUGACGUUACCCGCAGAAGAAGCACCGGCUAACUCCGUG
Molecule: ribosomal RNA, 489 nt
Filed under: uncultured bacterium
Lineage: Bacteria
Description: partial 16S ribosomal RNA
Rfam family: Bacterial small subunit ribosomal RNA
Source: RNAcentral